AUGCCGGUGAAAGACAAAACCAUCUUCUCGAGCUCUUUGGCUGCUCCAUGCUCAAAAGUGAUAUUAGUCAAGGCCGAGCCCUCAACAAGAAGGUACUUGAGGCAUCUGAAUUCAUCCUUCUUGAAGUUCAACAUAGACUCGGUGCAUGCAAUGUGUUGGAGCCUUAUGCACCGUAACUUGGGCAGCUUGGCAAGGACUUUCAGAUCAUCUUGGCUCAGCAGAGUGUGACAUAGGGUUACCUUGGCAAGUUCGUUUUUAUCACCUUUUAUGAACAAUGGAAGAAGACGCCCCUUCUGUGUGGUUCCCCUGAUGCUUAGACUCUCAAGAAUCUUGGGAUGGUUUUCUAAGAGAGAGCCUAUGCCAUCUGGUAACUCUGCACUGUAA
RNAcentral lists this ribosomal RNA (384 nucleotides) under Triticum aestivum (bread wheat). Its description in RNAcentral is "partial small subunit ribosomal RNA". The record is from RNAcentral. Lineage: Eukaryota; Viridiplantae; Streptophyta; Magnoliopsida; Poales; Poaceae.